AUGAACGCUAGCUACAGGCUUAACACAUGCAAGUCGAGGGGAAACGACAUCGAAAGCUUGCUUUUGAUGGGCGUCGACCGGCGCACGGGUGAGUAACGCGUAUCCAACCUGCCCACCACUUGGGGAUAACCUUGCGAAAGUAAGACUAAUACCCAAUGAUAUCUCUAGAAGACAUCUGAAAGAGAUUAAAGAUUUAUCGGUGAUGGAUGGGGAUGCGUCUGAUUAGCUUGUUGGCGGGGUAACGGCCCACCAAGGCAACGAUCAGUAGGGGUUCUGAGAGGAAGGUCCCCCACAUUGGAACUGAGACACGGUCCAAACUCCUACGGGAGGCAGCAGUGAGGAAUAUUGGUCAAUGGACGAGAGUCUGAACCAGCCAAGUAGCGUGCAGGAAGACGGCCCUAUGGGUUGUAAACUGCUUUUAUAAGGGAAUAAAGUGAGUCUCGUGAGACUUUUUGCAUGUACCUUAUGAAUAAGGACCGGCUAAUUCCGUGCCAGCAGCCGCGGUAAUACGGAAGGUCCGGGCGUUAUCCGGAUUUAUUGGGUUUAAAGGGAGCGUAGGCCGGAGAUUAAGCGUGUUGUGAAAUGUAGAUGCUCAACAUCUGAACUGCAGCGCGAACUGGUUUCCUUGAGUACGCACAAAGUGGGCGGAAUUCGUGGGGGAGCGGUGAAAUGCUUAGAUAUCACGAAGAACUCCGAUUGCGAAGGCAGCUCACUGGAGCGCAACUGACGCUGAAGCUCGAAAGUGCGGGUAUCGAACAGGAUUAGAUACCCUGGUAGUCCGCACGGUAAACGAUGGAUGCCCGCUGUUGGUCUGAAUAGGUCAGCGGCCAAGCGAAAGCAUUAAGCAUCCCACCUGGGGAGUACGCCGGCAACGGUGAAACUCAAAGGAAUUGACGGGGGCCCGCACAAGCGGAGGAACAUGUGGUUUAAUUCGAUGAUACGCGAGGAACCUUACCCGGGCUUGAAUUGCAGAGGAAGGAUUUGGAGACAAUGACGCCCUUCGGGGC
Molecule: ribosomal RNA, 1007 nt
Filed under: human gut metagenome
Description: bacterial SSU rRNA
Rfam family: Bacterial small subunit ribosomal RNA
Source: RNAcentral